This 354-nucleotide unclassified non-coding RNA is filed under the name soil metagenome. RNAcentral describes it as "partial contains 5.8S ribosomal RNA, internal transcribed spacer 2, and large subunit ribosomal RNA". The stretch from base 1 to 120 matches the Rfam family "5.8S ribosomal RNA", at positions 35 to 154 of the family's 154-position model. The record is from RNAcentral.
GAUGAAGAACGCAGCGAAACGCGAUAUGUAAUGUGAAUUGCAGAAUUCAGUGAAUCAUCGAAUCUAUGAACGCACAUGGCGCCUUCCAGUAUCCUGGGAGGCAUGCCUGUCCGAGCGUCGUUUCAACCCUCGAGCCCCCGUGGCCCGGCGUUGGGGAUCUGCCCAGGCAGUCCCCGAAAACCAGUGGCGGACCCGUUACAGGCCCUUCCCUUGCGUAGUAGCAUUCGCCUCGCAUCGGGAGCCGGCGGGCUUCCAGCCUCUAAACCCCCAUCAAGUCCGCCCCGGCGGCACCAAGGUUGACCUCGGAUCAGGUAGGAAUACCCGCUGAACUUAAGCAUAUCAAUAAGCGGAGGA